Molecule: non-coding RNA, 21 nt
Filed under: Arabidopsis thaliana (thale cress)
Lineage: Eukaryota; Viridiplantae; Streptophyta; Magnoliopsida; Brassicales; Brassicaceae
Source: RNAcentral
UCUAAGGAUUCUAGGAUGCGU